GGCCCCUUGGUCAAGCGGUUAAGACACCGCCCUUUCACGGCGGUAACACGGGUUCGAAUCCCGUAGGGGUCAUCA
This 75-nucleotide transfer RNA is filed under the name Lysinibacillus sphaericus. RNAcentral describes it as "tRNA-Glu". It matches the Rfam family "tRNA". From Rfam's summary of the family: Transfer RNA (tRNA) molecules are approximately 80 nucleotides in length. Their secondary structure includes four short double-helical elements and three loops (D, anti-codon, and T loops). RNAcentral also lists the same sequence under 44 other names. The record is from RNAcentral. Lineage: Bacteria; Bacillati; Bacillota; Bacilli; Caryophanales; Bacillaceae.